GCAGCUCUAGUGGUAGCAGUUUUUAUUGGGCCUAAAGCGUCCGUAGCCGGUUUAAUAAGUCUCUGGUGAAAUCCUGUAGCUUAACUGUGGGAAUUGCUGGAGAUACUAUUAGACUUGAGACCGGGAGAGGUUAGAGGUACUCCCAGGGUAGAGGUGAAAUUCUGUAAUCCUGGGAGGACCGCCUGUUGCGAAGGCGUCUAACUGGAACGGUUCUGACGGUGAGGGACGAAAGUUAGGGGCGCGAACCGGAUUAGAUACCCGGGUAGUCCUAACCGUAAACGAUGCGGACUUGGUGUUGGGGUGGCUUUGAGCUGCUCCAGUGCCGAAGGGAAGCUGUUAAGUCCGCCGCCUGGGAAGUACGGUCGCAAGACUGAAACUUAA
Molecule: ribosomal RNA, 381 nt
Filed under: uncultured archaeon
Lineage: Archaea
Description: bacterial SSU rRNA
Rfam family: Archaeal small subunit ribosomal RNA
Source: RNAcentral